RNAcentral lists this transfer RNA (60 nucleotides) under Salmo salar (Atlantic salmon). It matches the Rfam family "tRNA", at positions 8 to 63 of the family's 71-position model. From Rfam's summary of the family: Transfer RNA (tRNA) molecules are approximately 80 nucleotides in length. Their secondary structure includes four short double-helical elements and three loops (D, anti-codon, and T loops). Lineage: Eukaryota; Metazoa; Chordata; Actinopteri; Salmoniformes; Salmonidae. The record is from Rfam by way of RNAcentral.
UAGCUCAGUUGGUAGGAGCAUGGUGUUUUGCAACGCCAUGGUUGUGGGUUCGAUUCCCAC